GGAAGGAGGGAGGGAGGGAAGGAAGGAAGGAGGGAGGGAAGGAGGGAGGGAGGGAAGGAAGGAAGGAGGGAGGGAGGGAAGGAAGGAGGGAGGGAGGGAGGGAAGGAAGGAGGGGGGGAAGGAAGGAAGGAGGGAGGGAGGGAAGGAAGGAGGGAGGGAGGGAGGGAAGGAAGGAGGGAGGGAGGGAGGGAAGGAAGGAGGGGGGAAGGAAGGAGGGAAGGAGGGAGGGAAGGAGGGAGGGAGGGAGGGAAGGAAGGCAGGCAGGCAUGCCUAUGUGAUGAUUGCUAAAGUAGCAGAAUCUUAACUUCUCCAUCGCAAGUGAGUGGACUGUGCUGAGGCCCAUUCAGCCUGGAGUUCAUGUUCAGAGGCCUGUGGGAGCCUCUCAGGUGGCUGGCCCUUACCUGGCAGCAGAAGCAGCAACCAAGCAGGUGGCAGGGCAGAGACAGGGUAGGGGAUAGGAACGGAAAGGGAUGGAGAAAGAAGAAUGAAGGUAGUAAAAGUAGACUCAGGACAGAGUGAACAUUUGCUGAAACAUCAACAGAUUAGCAGUCCCUGUGAUGGCUGAAAAGUUCAAGGGCAAAGGUCAGCUGAAAAAUUGAUGCCAGAUUCUCUAAACGAAUGUUCCAUCCACCUAAGCUUGAACAUCCCACAGGUGGGUGAUAAUGGGCACAUAAGAACUCCCAUGGCCAGAACUGAAACUUCUCAUUCAAGUGCAAACCGGUCAAUUUCUUUCCUUUGUUCACUCUGCUCUCCUAAAACCGUCAUCCCAGUCUGCCUGCUGCAAAACUUGCCAAGUCAUGAGAGGUAAGCUGUAAAAAGUUGAACACUAGACUUUUCGGGCUUUAUAAAUAGGUUUGUUUCCAGAUAUGCUGUGUUAAAGACAAUUUAGCUACGUGUCAUUUCUCUGACAGCCAACUCCCAGGUUGUGAACCCCUCAGACAUGUCCAGCUCUUUUCUUACAACCAAACUUGUCUUCUUAGGCACUUCUGAGUGAGGAGGUCUAGGGAGAAAAAGAAAAAGAGAGAAAAUAUGCACACACAGGCUCACAGACACAAAAUCCGGCAUCCCUGGAGGACAGCAGCCUGCUGCACAGUAGGGACCAAGAGAUACAAGGCUGCCCAUGUAACAGAUGCAAGUUUCCCGUGCUCCAGUUCAGCUGGGAAUGCAGGCUGUAAAGCUGAAAUAAAUCACAUGGAACGUGCUGUCAUCUCCCUACCUUCCCGCUAAACCCGUCCACACUGCCGCU
This 1246-nucleotide long non-coding RNA is filed under the name Callithrix jacchus (white-tufted-ear marmoset). RNAcentral describes it as "lncRNA (ENSCJAG00000074114.1)". Lineage: Eukaryota; Metazoa; Chordata; Mammalia; Primates; Cebidae. The record is from RNAcentral.